This 73-nucleotide transfer RNA is filed under the name Fasciola hepatica (liver fluke). It matches the Rfam family "tRNA". Rfam says of the family: Transfer RNA (tRNA) molecules are approximately 80 nucleotides in length. Their secondary structure includes four short double-helical elements and three loops (D, anti-codon, and T loops). The record is from Rfam by way of RNAcentral. Lineage: Eukaryota; Metazoa; Platyhelminthes; Trematoda; Plagiorchiida; Fasciolidae.
ACCGCGAUAGCCUAGCUGAUAGGGCAUCUGCCCGGUACGCGGAGGGCCGCCGGUUCGUUUCCGGCUCUCGGCA